RNAcentral lists this transfer RNA (66 nucleotides) under Nesophrosyne sp. 17 GMB-2012. RNAcentral describes it as "tRNA-Asn". Lineage: Eukaryota; Metazoa; Arthropoda; Insecta; Hemiptera; Cicadellidae. The record is from RNAcentral.
UUAAUUGAAGCCAAAGGAGAGAGGCCCCUUAAUGUUAAUAAGGUGAUUGAUUUUAUUCCAAUUAAA